RNAcentral lists this small nuclear RNA (307 nucleotides) under Octodon degus (degu). RNAcentral's name for it is "7SK RNA (ENSODEG00000023635.1)". It matches the Rfam family "7SK RNA". From Rfam's summary of the family: 7SK was discovered as an abundant small nuclear RNA in the mid-70s but a possible function has only recently been suggested. Two independent studies have found that 7SK RNA binds the CDK9/cyclin T complex (known as elongation factor P-TEFb). The record is from Rfam by way of RNAcentral. Lineage: Eukaryota; Metazoa; Chordata; Mammalia; Rodentia; Octodontidae.
GAAUGUAUGUGUGACCUGGAUGUGACAUCUGUCACCCCAUUGAUUGCCAAGGUUGAUUCAGCUGGCUAGACAAAUGUCCCAUUCCUCCCUCAAUGUUCCAUGUGCAUCAUUCCCGAAGCUAUGUGCUUCAUUGAAGAGGACAACCACCCAAUAGAGGAGGACCAUUCCUCAGUCAAGGGUAUAUGAGUAGCUGCGCUUUCCUGAUAGAACCUCCAAACAAGCUCUAAAGAAAUUUAGAGAAGAUUUAAAGCCAAGUCUUCUCAAACUCUUCAAUGAAAUUGAAAGGGAAGCAAUUCUCCCAAACUUA